ACUCAAAGGAAUAGACGGGGGCCCGCACAAGCGGUGGAGUAUGUGGUUUAAUUCGAAGCAACGCGCAGAACCUUACCUGGUCUUGACAUCCCGUGACCGCGGCAGAGAUGUCGUUUUCCCUUCGGGGACACGGAGACAGGUGCUGCAUGGCUGUCGUCAGCUCGUGUUGUGAAAUGUUCGGUUAAGUCCGGCAACGAGCGCAACCCCUGUCCUUAGUUACCAUCAUUAAGUUGGGGACUCUAGGGAGACUGCCGAUGUUAAAUCGGAGGAAGGCGGGGAUGACGUCAAGUCCUCAUGGCCCUUACGACCAGGGCUACACACGUACUACAAUGGCAGAAACAAAGGGUUGCAGAGCCGUAAGGUGAAGCUAAUCCCAAAAACACUGUCUCAGUCCGGAUUGUGGUCUGCAACUCGACCACAUGAAGUUGGAAUCGCUAGUAAUCGCAGAUCAGCACGCUGCGGUGAAUACGUUCCCGGGCCUUGUACACACCGCCCGU
RNAcentral lists this ribosomal RNA (497 nucleotides) under uncultured bacterium. RNAcentral describes it as "partial 16S ribosomal RNA". It matches the Rfam family "Bacterial small subunit ribosomal RNA", at positions 899 to 1397 of the family's 1533-position model. The record is from RNAcentral.